AGGACGGGGCGGCGGCCUAUCAGGUAGUUGGUGGUGUAACGGACCACCAAGCCUACGACGGGUACGGGCUGUGAGAGCAGGAGCCCGGAGAUGGGGACUGAGACAAGGCCCCAGGCCCUACGGGGCGCAGCAGGCGCGAAAACUCCGCAAUGCGCGCAAGCGUGACGGGGGAACCCCAAGUGCCGCUGAUCUUUGAUCGGCGGCUUUUCGGGAGUGCAGGGAGCUUCCGGAAUAAGGGCUGGGUAAGACUGGUGCCAGCCGCCGCGGUAAUACCAGCAGCCCAAGUGGUGGUCGCGUUUAUUGGGCCUAAAGCGCUCGUAGCCGGGCCGGUAAGUUCCCCGUGAAAUCGGGUCGCUCAACGAUUCGGCUUGCGGGGAAUACUGUCGGUCUUGGGGCCGGGAGACGCCGAGGGUACUCCGGGGGUAGCGGUGAAAUGCUGUAAUCCCUGGGGGACUACCAGUGGCGAAGGCGCUCGGCGAGAACGGGCCCGACGGUGAGGGGCGAAAGCUGGGGGAGCGAACGGGAUUAGAUACCCCGGUAGUCCCAGCCGUAAAGGAUGCGGGCAAGGUGCUUGUCGCUCUUCGAGGGCGCCAGGUGCCGUAGAGAAGUCGUUAAGCCCGCCGCCUGGGAAGUACGGUCGCAAGGCUGAAACUUAAAGAAAUUGGCGGGGGAGCACCACAAGGGGUGGGACCUGCGGUUCAAUUGGAUUCAACGCCGGG
Molecule: ribosomal RNA, 719 nt
Filed under: uncultured archaeon
Lineage: Archaea
Description: bacterial SSU rRNA
Rfam family: Archaeal small subunit ribosomal RNA
Source: RNAcentral